UACGUAGGGCGCAAGCGUUAUCCGGAAUUAUUGGGCGUAAAGAGCUCGUAGGCGGCUUGUCGCGUCGACUGUGAAAACCCGAGGCUUAACCUCGGGCCUGCAGUCGAUACGGGCAGACUAGAGUUCGGUAGGGGAGACUGGAAUUCCCGGUGUAGCGGUGAAAUGCGCAGAUAUCGGGAAGAACACCCGUGGCGAAGGCGGCUCUCUGGAACGCAACUGACGCUGAGACGCGAAAGCGUGGGGAGCAAACAGG
This 253-nucleotide ribosomal RNA is filed under the name uncultured bacterium. RNAcentral's name for it is "partial 16S ribosomal RNA". It matches the Rfam family "Bacterial small subunit ribosomal RNA", at positions 524 to 776 of the family's 1533-position model. The record is from RNAcentral.